UACGUAGGGCGCGAGCGUUGUCCGGAAUUAUUGGGCGUAAAGAGCUCGUAGGCGGCCUGUUGCGUCUGCUGUGAAAUCCCGGGGCUUAACCCCGGGCGUGCAGUGGAUACGGGCAGGCUGGAGGCAGGCAGGGGAGAAUGGAAUUCCCGGUGUAGCGGUGAAAUGCGCAGAUAUCGGGAGGAACACCGAUGGCGAAGGCAGGUCUCUGGGCUGUAACUGACGCUGAGGAGCGAAAGCAUGGGGAGCGAACAGG
Molecule: ribosomal RNA, 253 nt
Filed under: uncultured bacterium
Lineage: Bacteria
Description: partial 16S ribosomal RNA
Rfam family: Bacterial small subunit ribosomal RNA
Source: RNAcentral